This 451-nucleotide ribosomal RNA is filed under the name Parachlamydiaceae bacterium T1509. RNAcentral describes it as "bacterial SSU rRNA". It matches the Rfam family "Bacterial small subunit ribosomal RNA", at positions 47 to 486 of the family's 1533-position model. The record is from RNAcentral. Lineage: Bacteria; Pseudomonadati; Chlamydiota; Chlamydiia; Parachlamydiales; Parachlamydiaceae.
GAUGAGGCAUGCAAGUCGUACGAAAUUGUUUACAAUUUAGUGGCGAAAGGGUUAGUAAUACAUGGGUAACUCACCUCAGAACUUGGGGAUAACGGUUGGAAACGACCGCUAAUACCGAAUGUGGUGAAAGUAAGAUUCUUACUUUUAUUAAAGCGGGGGAUCGCAAGACCUCGCGGUUUGAGAGGGGCCCAUGGGAUAUCAGCUUGUUGGUGUGGUAAAGGCGCACCAAGGCUAAGACGUCUAGGCGGAUUGAGAGAUUGACCGCCAACACUGGGACUGAGAUACUGCCCAGACUCCUACGGGAGGCUGCAGUCGAGAAUCAUUCGCAAUGGGCGAAAGCCUGACGAUGCGACGCUGCGUGAGCGAAGAAGGCCUUCGGGUUGUAAAGUUCUUUCGCCUGGGAACAAGAGAUGCCGACUAAUAUUCGGCAAAUUUGAGCGUACCAGGUAAA